Molecule: unclassified non-coding RNA, 200 nt
Filed under: soil metagenome
Description: partial contains internal transcribed spacer 2 and large subunit ribosomal RNA
Source: RNAcentral
AUUAUCAACCAUCAAGCCUGGCUUGUCGUUGGACCUUUUGGUCGUCCAGACCGGUCCAAAAGAUAAUGGACGGGCGUCUGGUGGCCCCCGAUGCAACGAGCUCUUUUAAACAGCACGCAUCGGUGCGGUCGGCAGCCCCGCCCCAAACCUCAAUUUUUCAGGUUGACCUCGGAUCAGGUAGGAAUACCCGCUGAACUUAA